This 447-nucleotide ribosomal RNA is filed under the name uncultured bacterium. RNAcentral describes it as "bacterial SSU rRNA". It matches the Rfam family "Bacterial small subunit ribosomal RNA", at positions 335 to 799 of the family's 1533-position model. The record is from RNAcentral.
ACUCCUACGGGAGGCAGCAGUGGGGAAUAUUGCACAAUGGGCGCAAGCCUGAUGCAGCAACGCCGCGUGAGCGAAGAAGGUCUUCGGAUCGUAAAGCUCUUUUCUUAGGGAAGAAAAUGACGGUACCUAAGGAAUAAGCACCGGCUAAAUACGUGCCAGCAGCCGCGGUAAUACGUAUGGUGCAAGCGUUAUCCGGAAUCACUGGGCGUAAAGGGUGCGUAGGCGGUUUUGCAAGUCAGAAGUGAAAGGCUACGGCUCAACCGUAGUAAGCUUUUGAAACUGCAAGACUAGAGUGCAGGAGAGGUAAGUGGAAUUCCUAGUGUAGAGGUGAAAUUCGUAGAUAUUAGGAGGAACACCAGUGGCGAAGGCGACUUACUGGACUGUAACUGACGCUGAGGCACGAAAGCGUGGGGAGCGAACAGGAUUAGAUACCCUGGUAGCACAGAG